Long non-coding RNA from Gorilla gorilla gorilla (western lowland gorilla), 4074 nucleotides. RefSeq lists it as uncharacterized. NCBI's taxonomy places the organism in Eukaryota, Metazoa, Chordata, Mammalia, Primates, Hominidae. The record is from RefSeq and is a predicted model, not a curated record. The transcript is spliced from 7 exons.
GCUGGGGCAGGGCGGCGAAAGGUCAGUCGGCCGAGAGGAGUCCGUGGAGCCACCGUUUCAUAGCCUCAGGGAAAGGAUCGGGCGUGCUCACGAGCCCUCUAACCCAUGGCUUAAACACCCGCUUCCUAAGCCUGGCUCAACAAACAUAAGCUGCAAAAAUCUUGCCUAUUGGAUUUUGCAGAAUUCUGUGGGAUUUGGACAUUUUUCCCUUGCCGUUUAAAACAGGUUUCAAAUUUCCUGAAUAUAUCACAUGUGGUGAUAAACAUGAAGAUGUAUGAAAAAUUGUGUUCAUUGAGAGAAAAUGGAAGGCUUUUCAUUCUACUUCCACAUUUUCAUUCCAGCAGCUUUUCUCUUUUGGAAGUUGAGUACUGAAUCUUGCAAUGAAAUUUUUUUAACUUAAACAAGGUAUAUUUUAGUGUGUUCCACUCUGGAUGACUGUCUGAUGCCGUCAUGAAUAUUCAAUUAACUUUUAUUUUUAUUUAAUUUAAUUUAUUUAUUUAUUUUUGAGAUGGAGUCCCACUCUGUCACCCAGGCUGGAGUGCAGUGGCAUGAUCUCGGCUCACUGCAACCUCUGCCUCCUGUGUUCAAGCGAUUCUCAUGCCUCAGCAUCCUGAGUAGGUGGGACUACAGGCAUGUACCACCAUGCCUAGCUAAUUUUUGUAUUUUUAAUAGAGAUGGGGUUUUACCAUGUUGGCCAGUCUGGUCUCAAACUGCUAACCUCAAGUGAUCCACCUGCCUUGGCCUACCAAAGUGCUGGGAUUACGGGCGUGAGCCACUGUGCCCAGCCAAAUAUUCAAUUAACUCUUAGAUCAGCGUUUCUGAACCUCAGCUCUGCUGACAUUUCCAGCCAGAUAAUUCUUUGUUGUGCGGGCUGUCCUGUGUGCUGUAGGAUGUUUGGCAGUAUCCCUGGCCUCUACCUACUAGAUGACAGCAUCCCUGCACAUCUCUGACAUCCAAAAAUGACUCUAGACAUUGCCAAAUAUCCCUGGGGGGUAAAAUCAUCCCCAAUUGGGAACCACUGCUUUUGAUCAUCUGGCCAUUGAUUUUUGGCCAAUAGGAUGGAGCUAUGUGACUACAAGGGUGUGUGGCCUUUCUUCUGGUAGGUGUAGGACUUCAGUCUGCCAUGCUCCUUCAUAUACUCAGUGCCUAAUUUGUGCAAGGUAGCAGCAAACCAUGAGGAGAAAGGUGGUCCAUGUCUUGAAGAAACUCAUAGUCUAACAAUUUGUAAACUAAGUUGAUUUUUCAGGUUUUGGAAAUAUGCUAGGUGAUUCUUGGUAAUGCUUUGAAGUGGUACCUUGAGCUUCUUAGAUAGCUGUGAUAAAUUUCCAAAGUUGGAUAUUAUUAUGUGUUAUCAAAAUACUUUCAAAGCAGUGGAAAACCCCUAUACUUUUCUUGAAAUUUUUCAUUGAAUAGUUGACUCUUGUGUAAGGAAUAGAUUGAAAUUUGCAGCUUUGUUUUACUGGGAUAUUUGCUUGUUGUUUUAAUGUUUAAGCCUUAUCCCUCCAAAUCUUUUAUAAAUCAACACUUGUGUUGUAGAUUUGGAGGAUAAUAACAGCACCUGUCCUGAUACAUAGAGUUCUUAUUGUUUAGACAGCUGUCUACACUGAACAUCAGCUGUCUGUACUCUGAUUUCAGGGGCGUGUAUGUGAUCUAGGUUUGGACAAUAAAAAUAUUGAACCCUCCUUCCCUGGACCUACAAUUGUUUAAGGGAAGGAAACAUGCAAAAGUUGGUAUAAAUUUCAAUUCUAAAAGAAUAAUUGUACAAUAAAAAAUCUUACAAUUGUGUAACUGAAGCUAACCUAAGUGUUCAGCUUACUAUCAAGUAUAUAAAAACUUUAAAAAGCCUUUAAAAAUAACAAAAAAUUCCAAAUACUGUAAUUAAGCAUUUGAUUCAUUUAAAAUCAAGUAUGGAGCAACAUACAAUACAGCAUUUAAUAUCACAUUUGAACUGGUAAAUCACUAGGACAACUUAGUUAAAUAGUAAUAAAAGAAUGAAUCCCCAGGAUUAUAGUAUUUCUGUGGCAUUUAUCUAGUCCUUUGUACAUAACAAAGUGAUUCAGCUCUUCAUUCAUAAAACUGUGUUAGGAAUCUGAGUUGUAUGGUUUUCUGUGUGACAAUUUAGACAUUUUAGUCUUUGCAUUCCAAAAACACUAGGAAAGUUGUUAUUUGUUUGAAAUAGAUUCCAAUGAUCUGUUCUAAUUUAUUCUGAUGAAAAGGGUAAAGGGAAAUUUCUCUGACUUCUAAACUAACUUGAGAAAUUUUCCUAUUGCCUCAGUCUGUCCUCCCACCCCUAAGGUACAUAGAAAGACAGAUAUGUGUGUACACACUAUAACAUUGUUUAAAUGAUACUCAUAUUAUUGUUCUGAAAUAGCCAUACUUUAAAUGGUUUCAGAUAAUUGGCCUCAGUUUUGCUAAUAUAAUUUAUGUAAGUCAUAUGGCUAGGUCAAAUUUAAUAGAAAAUUUGGGAAGAAAGAUAUUUAAAAAUAUAUUUUAUGAUGAAAACUAUCUUGAUAAAUUUCCUUGUUUAUUUUAUAUGAUAAAAAUCAUUGGUUGCUCCCUAAUAAAAUAUCACUUAACUUACAUUACAGUGCUGGGCAUGUAUUACAAGUUGCUCAUUUUUAGAGCUAAUUUAUGUAGCAUAUUUGCAUGUGUGUGCAUAAAAGAUUGUGACAGAGAUAAGAGAAAUAAGUGAAACGUUCACUUAUUCACAAUAUAAGUGAAUAUAAUCUAUUAAUAUUCAAAUUAAAAACUAGAUAGCAAGUCAGUAGUUCAUUUAGUUGAGAAACUUAGGGGAGGAUGGGCAACUAACAAUAACGGUACUAUUAUUAUCAUUCCUUUUUUACAGACAAGGAAAAUGAAGCGCAGAGACAUUAAAUAACUCUCUCAAGGUCAUGCAGCUGAGAAGAGAUGAGACUUGAACUCCAGUGCCAGCCCUGUUAAUCACUAUUCUGUACUGUCUUUCAGGUUCUUAUGACUUUGUUUGAAAAACAUGGUUCCCUGUGAAAUUUUACAUGUAGAAGAAAGCUUCACACUACAAGAGCUCUCAGGAUAUAAUUAUUUCAGACAGAUACUGGGAACAUAAGAUGGCUUAUCAAUCUAAGAUGGCCUUCCUGUCCUUCGGAUUGAACUGAAACCAUCCCUGAUUCCAGGGAUAGGUAGAUGAUCCAGGUUUGGACAAUCAAAAUAUUGAACCACCCUGGACCUACAAGUGUUUCUGGGAUGGGAACAUGCAAACGUUGGUCCACAUUGUUGUUCUAGGCAGCCCAGUACAUUUCUCCAAUACCUGAUGGAAUGAUAGGGUACGCAUAAAUGUUCGUGUGGGCUCUGGAGUAUACCAGGAACUGAAGUGUAAGGUACAUGGACGUCUUGAAUAUUGUAACUGAGAUGGGCAAGCCUACACCUUUGCAAAUAAAGGAGGAUUGGGAAAGAUUAAGAAUGAUUGAGUCUCAGAAUUGUUCUUUAAUCCUCAGUAUUUCCAUUAAGAAGAGCUUCUAUCAAGUGCUUCAAAAGUACCCAAUGUGAAGGAGUAAUAAUGACUCCCUGCUGCCUCUCAAGCACUGUGAAAAAUCACUUUCUCUUGUUGUAUUCUUGGAGCCCCUGCUAAUUCAUUAUUGAAAAAUACCUGCUGCCUGCAUUUGGCCUUAUGUUGUCAUUUACUUGGUACUUCCUAAGCGUGGCUACUCCAAUGAAGCUUUAGUAUAUGUACUGAAAGAAGAUCCUCUCAUACUGCCACAGCCAACAGAUAAGGUUGUAAAUCUUUAUUGGGAGAAGCCGUCAAGGACAGUUCUGUGAAAUGAAAGGAUCUCUGGAUCACCACAAAGUCUGGCUCAGUGACUAUGGCUUUGCAAACACUAAACAUUCCUAUCUCGAGUCCUGUAAAUGGCUUGAAAUAGUAUACAUAAGCAUGCCUUAUAAACAUCUUCAGUCUUUAUCAACUCUUUGGAGAUCCAGCCAUUCUUUUUUGUACUUUAGGGAAUUAAAUCAUUUUAUAAUGUAUAAAUCUGAGCAUGGCAGAUGGCAGAAGAAAUUUUGUCAUGUGUUUUUAAAGAAAUAAAAAUGUAUUAUGUUUUAAAA